RNAcentral lists this ribosomal RNA (694 nucleotides) under Bacillus sp. (in: firmicutes). RNAcentral's name for it is "bacterial SSU rRNA". It matches the Rfam family "Bacterial small subunit ribosomal RNA", at positions 632 to 1326 of the family's 1533-position model. The record is from RNAcentral. Lineage: Bacteria; Bacillati; Bacillota; Bacilli; Caryophanales; Bacillaceae.
ACUGGGGAACUUGAGUGCAGAAGAGGAGAGUGGAAUUCCACGUGUAGCGGUGAAAUGCGUAGAGAUGUGGAGGAACACCAGUGGCGAAGGCGACUCUCUGGUCUGUAACUGACGCUGAGGCGCGAAAGCGUGGGGAGCGAACAGGAUUAGAUACCCUGGUAGUCCACGCCGUAAACGAUGAGUGCUAAGUGUUAGAGGGUUUCCGCCCUUUAGUGCUGCAGCAAACGCAUUAAGCACUCCGCCUGGGGAGUACGGUCGCAAGACUGAAACUCAAAGGAAUUGACGGGGGCCCGCACAAGCGGUGGAGCAUGUGGUUUAAUUCGAAGCAACGCGAAGAACCUUACCAGGUCUUGACAUCCUCUGACAACCCUAGAGAUAGGGCUUCCCCUUCGGGGGCAGAGUGACAGGUGGUGCAUGGUUGUCGUCAGCUCGUGUCGUGAGAUGUUGGGUUAAGUCCCGCAACGAGCGCAACCCUUGAUCUUAGUUGCCAGCAUUCAGUUGGGCACUCUAAGGUGACUGCCGGUGACAAACCGGAGGAAGGUGGGGAUGACGUCAAAUCAUCAUGCCCCUUAUGACCUGGGCUACACACGUGCUACAAUGGGCAGAACAAAGGGCAGCGAAGCCGCGAGGCUAAGCCAAUCCCACAAAUCUGUUCUCAGUUCGGAUCGCAGUCUGCAACUCGACUGCGUGAAGC